GUGGGGAAUAUUGGACAAUGGGCGCAAGCCUGAUCCAGCCAUGCCGCGUGAGUGAUGAAGGCCUUAGGGUUGUAAAGCUCUUUCAGUAGGGAAGAUAAUGACGGUACCCACAGAAGAAGCCCCGGCUAACUUCGUGCCAGCAGCCGCGGUAAUACGAAGGGGGCUAGCGUUGUUCGGAUUUACUGGGCGUAAAGCGCACGUAGGCGGAUCGUUAAGUCAGGGGUGAAAUCCUGGAGCUCAACUCCAGAACUGCCUUUGAUACUGGCGAUCUAGAGUCCGGAAGAGGUGAGUGGAACUCCUAGUGUAGAGGUGGAAUUCGUAGAUAUUAGGAAGAACACCAGUGGCGAAGGCGGCUCACUGGUCCGGUACUGACGCUGAGGUGCGAAAGCGUGGGGAGCAAACAGGAUUAGAUACCCCAGUAGUCC
Molecule: ribosomal RNA, 425 nt
Filed under: uncultured bacterium
Lineage: Bacteria
Description: partial 16S ribosomal RNA
Rfam family: Bacterial small subunit ribosomal RNA
Source: RNAcentral